Small nucleolar RNA from Castor canadensis (American beaver), 216 nucleotides. The record is from Ensembl. Lineage: Eukaryota; Metazoa; Chordata; Mammalia; Rodentia; Castoridae.
AAGACCAUACUUUCAGGGAUCAUUUCUAUAGUUCAUUACUAGUGAAGUUUCUCUGACUGUGUAGAGUACCGGAAACCACGAGGAAGAGAUGCAGCGUUCUUUCCUGAGCGUGAAGCCGGCUUUUGGUGUUGCUUUACUGCAGCUGCCAUCUGCCACUGAUGAAUGUUCUUAUUCCUUUUUGAGGUGUAAGAGGGAGAAAACAAAAUCUGAGUGGUU